GUAACAAGGUUUCCGUAGGUGAACCUGCGGAAGGAUCAUUACCUAGAGUUGUAGGCUUUGCCUGCUAUCUCUUACCCAUGUCUUUUAAGUACCUUCGUUUCCUCGGCGGGUUCGCCCGCCGAUUGGACAAUUUAAACCAUUUGCAGUUGCAAUCAGCGUCUGAAAAAACUUAAUAGUUACAACUUUCAACAACGGAUCUCUUGGUUCUGGCAUCGAUGAAGAACGCAGCGAAAUGCGAUAAGUAGUGUGAAUUGCAGAAUUCAGUGAAUCAUCGAAUCUUUGAACGCACAUUGCGCCCCUUGGUAUUCCAUGGGGCAUGCCUGUUCGAGCGUCAUUUGUACCUUCAAGCUCUGCUUGGUGUUGGGUGUUUGUCUCGCCUCUGCGUGUAGACUCGCCUCAAAACAAUUGGCAGCCGGCGUAUUGAUUUCGGAGCGCAGUACAUCUCGCGCUUUGCACUCAUAACGACGACGUCCAAAAGUACAUUUUUACACUCUUGACCUCGGAUCAGGUAGGGAUACCCGCUGAACCUAAGCAUAUC
Molecule: unclassified non-coding RNA, 538 nt
Filed under: Didymella glomerata
Lineage: Eukaryota; Fungi; Ascomycota; Dothideomycetes; Pleosporales; Didymellaceae
Description: sequence contains 18S rRNA gene, ITS1, 5.8S rRNA gene, ITS2, 28S rRNA gene
Rfam family: 5.8S ribosomal RNA (bases 181-334)
Source: RNAcentral